CAGUUGGAAAUGCAGAAAUCACCCGUCUUCUGCGUCAAUCACGCUGAGAACUGCAGACCAGAGCUGUUCCUAUUUGGCCAUCUUGGAACCGGUCUGAGUCUGUUUUAGCCAGAUCAAGUACUUGGUGAGAGAACCUUUGUGGGAGCGCAGAAGUCCAGCAGAGAGACCCUAGCACUUUAUUUGGACCAAAAAAUAAAUAAUAAAUAAAUAAAUAAAUAAAUCCAAAACUAGAUGCAUUAAAGAAGCAGACACUUGAAGAAGCAUCUUUCUUGUGAUCUCCUGGCUGGUACCCUGAAGUCCUGUUAUGCCAAUGGACCAGCAACCCUCGCAGGUAGGAAUUACUGCUAGAAAGACUAUCCUCUCUGCAGGCAAAUUUCUGGAAGGAUACUAUUUUAUGGGGAAAAAUGUGAACAACUGUAGGUAAUUUCACAGUCUGUAGGGCUUGUCUCCUAUUUGUAAUUUCUUACAUGUUUACUCGUGGUGGAAAUGUGGAGGUGGCUAAGGAACAAGCAGGCCCGCUGUGUUUCAGUGGCUUUCAGAGAAGGUGGCGGGAAAUAGUCUCUUCUCAGCAGCAGCUGAAUCCCAGUGUUAGCAGACGGAGCCUUGUUUCUUGAAAGUACAUUCCCAGGGAUUCCCUUGAAGAAUGUGAGAGAUCAGCUGGAAUGAAACUGGAUGUUUUAGGGUCCUGAGGGAAAUGUAAAUCCAGCAGCUUAUUCUCAAGAUGUGGCUCCAGAACCAGCAGCACUGAUUCUUCUAAAGAGUUGAGAGUGCAUUUUAGCUGUGAUAUCUUUGUACUCUUAAGAAAUCCUCCUCAACAAGACAAAACUUGACCAAGAGCAUUCAGUUGUCUUCCAGAAGGCUCCCUUGAGGACUGGGACUCUUCCUGGAUGCACCCAAUUAAUCUAUUGAAACAAGGACUCGUGAUGGCAGCCCCUCACCUGACAAACUGGAUUUUCCCCAGAGAUCAUUUGUAAUGUUUUUCCUGAAUCUUAUUUGUGUUUCCCUAUUAGCAAUGUUAUGUAUUUCUAUAUCGCAAAUCCUAAGUGCCGCCUGUAGAACCUAACCUCCAUUUAUAGCAUGGAACACACAGCCCAUCACGUAUCCUUGCCCUGGCCUUCAGCCUCUGAAUAUUUUAAUAAAAAUCACUCUUUCCUCCUUAAGGACCAUGUUCUUUAAAAGCUUAACACAUAGUUCUUAAUAAUUGGUUGCUUUACUUGAUGUUUCUCUGUUUAUCUUGGCUGCCCAGAAGCUCAGACUUAAAUGUAAGAGUCUACUUACAGUAACAACCUUGUUGCGGAUACAAUUAAUUCUCCCUAUCUUGUAUGUGGUUUCCGUUGUCUUUAUUUAUUAUCUUUAUUUAAACCUUUAAAAGAGUAUAGGAUAUCAAUUUAUGAAAAGAAAAAUAUUUUUUUUAGUUCAAUUGAAAUCCCUGUUUUGUACCACACUAUAUUUAAUGCCCCAUAUAGUUCUAAAACUCUGCAUGAUUCAAAGCAGGGGUUCUUAUUCUGGCGUGUGUGUGUGUGUGUGUGUGUGUGUGUGUGUGUGUCUGUAUGUACAUACCUC
This 1563-nucleotide long non-coding RNA is filed under the name Homo sapiens (human). RNAcentral's name for it is "HSALNT0301709". The record is from RNAcentral. Lineage: Eukaryota; Metazoa; Chordata; Mammalia; Primates; Hominidae.